This 255-nucleotide unclassified non-coding RNA is filed under the name Ascomycota sp. Its description in RNAcentral is "partial contains small subunit ribosomal RNA, internal transcribed spacer 1, and 5.8S ribosomal RNA". The stretch from base 1 to 47 matches the Rfam family "Eukaryotic small subunit ribosomal RNA", at positions 1785 to 1831 of the family's 1831-position model. The record is from RNAcentral. Lineage: Eukaryota; Fungi; Ascomycota.
AAAGUCGUAACAAGGUUUCCGUAGGUGAACCUGCGGAAGGAUCAUUAAAGUGUCUAGCCUGCGCACCUAGUGCCCGGGCGAAACUCCACCCUUGACUACUAUACCACAUGUUGCUUUGGCGGGCCCGCCUCCGGGCCGCCGGGGGUUCUGCCCCUGGCCUGCGCCCGCCAGAGACAUAUUGAACCCUUUGUGAAAUUGGACGUCUGAGUUGAUUAUCAAUCAUUAAAACUUUCAACAAUGGAUCUCUUGGUUCCG